This 254-nucleotide ribosomal RNA is filed under the name uncultured bacterium. Its description in RNAcentral is "partial 16S ribosomal RNA". It matches the Rfam family "Bacterial small subunit ribosomal RNA", at positions 524 to 776 of the family's 1533-position model. The record is from RNAcentral.
CACGUAGGGUGCGAGCGUUGUCCGGAAUUAUUGGGCGUAAAGAGCUCGUAGGCGGUGUGUCGCGUCGAUCGUGAAAACCUGCAGCUUAACUGUGGGCUUGCGGUCGAUACGGGCAUGACUGGAGUUCGGCAGGGGAGACUGGAAUUCCUGGUGUAGCGGUGAAAUGCGCAGAUAUCAGGAGGAACACCGGUGGCGAAGGCGGGUCUCUGGGCCGAUACUGACGCUGAGGAGCGAAAGCGUGGGGAGCGAACAGG